CUAGAGCCUGAACCAGCUGCUUUGAAGAGAUCUUGGGACUGAAGGACUGAGCUGAGGCAUUUCUAAGGCAGCUGAUGAGAACAGAGGAAAGAGCAGAUAAUGGCACCAAAUCCUGCCCUGGAGCUGAGCAGGAUUCAAGGAGUGGCCCUGUGUGGAGAAGCAGAUGGAGCUCUGCAAACUAUCAGCAUGCUGGAUUUUCUGGUGCAUUUCUGGAGCUGAGGGACAACUGUCUGGGAGUUUCCAGGUCAGGUAACCUUGCUCACUCUUGUGGAAAGCCUGAGGAGCUCCAGGAGGGAUUAAAAGAAGAGAUCUUCCUCUCCUGUUCAGCCAAAGGCAUCAGUGGCAGAGCCGAGCCCGGAUUUGGGAGCUGGCAGUGCUGCAC
Molecule: long non-coding RNA, 382 nt
Filed under: Chloebia gouldiae (Gouldian finch)
Lineage: Eukaryota; Metazoa; Chordata; Aves; Passeriformes; Passeridae
Description: Erythrura gouldiae (Gouldian finch) lncRNA (ENSEGOG00005003116.1)
Source: RNAcentral